Molecule: ribosomal RNA, 818 nt
Filed under: Enterobacter hormaechei
Lineage: Bacteria; Pseudomonadati; Pseudomonadota; Gammaproteobacteria; Enterobacterales; Enterobacteriaceae
Description: bacterial SSU rRNA
Rfam family: Bacterial small subunit ribosomal RNA
Source: RNAcentral
GGGAAACUGCCUGAUGGAGGGGGAUAACUACUGGAAACGGUAUCUAAUACCGCAUAACGUCGCAAGACCAAAGAGGGGGACCUUCGGGCCUCUUGCCAUCAGAUGUGCCCAUAUGGGAUUAUCUAAUAGGUGGGGUAACGGCUCACCUAGGCCACUAUCCCUAUCUGGUCUGAGAGGAUGACCACCCACUCUGGAACUGAGACACGGCCCACACUCCUACGGGAGGCAGCAGUGGGGAAUAUUGCACAGUGGGCGCAAGCCUGAUGCACCCAUGCCGCGUGUAUGAAAAAGGCCUUCGGGUUGUAAAGUACUUUCCGCGGGGAAGAAGGCGAUAGGGUUAAUAACCUUGUCUAUUGACGUUACCCGCAAAAAAAGCACCGGCUAUCUCCGUGCCAGCACCCGCGGUAAUACGGAGGGUGCAAGCGUUUAUCGGAAUUACUGGGCGUAAAGCGCACGCACGCGGUCUGUCAAGUCAGAUGUGAAAUCCCCGGGCUCAACCUGGGAACUGCAUUCGAAACUGGCACGCUAGAGUCUUGUAGAGGGGGGUAGAAUUCCGUGUGUAGCGGAGAUAUGCGUAGAGAUCUGGAGGAAUACCGGUGGCGAACGCGGCCCCCUGGACAAAGACUGACGCUCGUGUGCGAAAGCGUGGGGAGCAAACGAGAUUAUAUACCCUGGUACUCCACGCCGUACACUAUGUCGACUUGGAGGUUGUGCCCUUGACGCGUGUCUUCCAGAUCUAACGCGUUAACUCCACCGCCUGGAGAGUACGGCCGCAAGGAUAAAACUCAUAAUGAAUUUGACGGGGCGCCCGCACAAGC